This 466-nucleotide ribosomal RNA is filed under the name uncultured bacterium. RNAcentral's name for it is "partial 16S ribosomal RNA". It matches the Rfam family "Bacterial small subunit ribosomal RNA", at positions 28 to 507 of the family's 1533-position model. The record is from RNAcentral.
GACGAACGCUGGCGGCGUGCUUAACACAUGCAAGUCGAACGGUAAGGCUCCAGCUUGCUGGGGUACACGAGUGGCGAACGGGUGAGUAACACGUGGGUGACCUGCCCUGCACUUCGGGAUAAGCCUGGGAAACUGGGUCUAAUACCGGAUAGGACCAUGGUGUGGAUACUGUGGUGGAAAGUUUUUUCGGUGUGGGAUUGGCGCGCGGCCUAUCAGCUUGUUGGUGGGGUAAUGGCCUACCAAGGCGGCGACGGGUAGCCGGCCUGAGAGGGAGGACGGCCACAUUGGGACUGAGACACGGCCCAGACUCCUAAGGGAGGCAGCAGUGGGGAAUAUUGCACAAUGGGCGGAAGCCUGAUGCAGCGACGCCGCGUGGGGGAUGACGGCCUUCGGGUUGUAAACUCCUUUCACCAUCGACGAAGGGUUUCUGACGGUAGAUGGAGAAGAAGCACCGGCUAACUACGUG